GACGAACCGUGCGAACGUUGUUCGGAUUCACUGGGCUUAAAGGGCGCGUAGGCGGGCCAUCAAGUCCGGGGUGAAAGCCCCCAGCUCAACUGGGGAAGUGCCUCGGAUACUGACGGCCUCGAGGGGGGUAGGGGCGGGCGGAACUUCCGGUGGAGCGGUGAAAUGCGUAGAUAUCGGAAGGAACGCCGGUGGCGAAAGCGGUUCUCUGGGCCUGUACUGACGCUGAGGAGCGAAAGCGUGGGGAGCGAACAGG
Molecule: ribosomal RNA, 253 nt
Filed under: uncultured bacterium
Lineage: Bacteria
Description: partial 16S ribosomal RNA
Rfam family: Bacterial small subunit ribosomal RNA
Source: RNAcentral